Molecule: ribosomal RNA, 212 nt
Filed under: uncultured bacterium
Lineage: Bacteria
Description: partial 16S ribosomal RNA
Rfam family: Bacterial small subunit ribosomal RNA
Source: RNAcentral
AGUUCGGAUCGCAGCCUGCAACCCGGCUGCGUGAAGCUGGAAUCGCUAGUAAUCGCGGAUCAGAAUGCCGCGGUGAAUACGUUCCCGGGUCUUGUACACACCGCCCGUCACACCAUGGGAGCCGGAAACGCCCGAAGCCAGCGGCCCAACCGCGAAGGGGGGCGCGGCCGAAGGUGGGUUCGAUAAUUGGGGUGAAGUCGUAACAAGGUAAC